This 233-nucleotide ribosomal RNA is filed under the name uncultured bacterium. Its description in RNAcentral is "partial 16S ribosomal RNA". It matches the Rfam family "Bacterial small subunit ribosomal RNA", at positions 102 to 334 of the family's 1533-position model. The record is from RNAcentral.
ACGGGUGAGUAACGCGUAUGCAACUUGCCUAUCAGAGGGGGAUAACCCGGCGAAAGUCGGACUAAUACCGCAUGAAGCAGGGAUCCCGCAUGGGAAUAUUUGCUAAAGAUUCAUCGCUGAUAGAUAGGCAUGCGUUCCAUUAGGCAGUUGGCGGGGUAACGGCCCACCAAACCGACGAUGGAUAGGGGUUCUGAGAGGAAGGUCCCCCACAUUGGAACUGAGACACGGUCCAA